AACGAACGCUGGCGGCGUGGAUAAGACAUGCAAGUCGAGCGGGAACUUUCGCUGUAGCAAUACAGUGAAAGUUCUAGCGGCGAACGGGUGCGUAACACGUGGACAAUCUGCCUUAAAGUGGGGGAUAGCUCGGCGAAAGCCGAAUUAAUACCGCAUGUGAUGAGAGACGACAUCGUCUUGAAAUCAAAGCCGGGGCAACCUGGCGCUUUUUGAGGAGUCCGCGGCCAUCAGCUUGUUGGUGAGGUAACGGCUCACCAAGGCUAUGACGGGUAGCUGGGUCUGAGAGGACGACCAGUCACACUGGAACUGAGACACGGGUCCAG
Molecule: ribosomal RNA, 323 nt
Filed under: uncultured bacterium
Lineage: Bacteria
Description: bacterial SSU rRNA
Rfam family: Bacterial small subunit ribosomal RNA
Source: RNAcentral